Molecule: ribosomal RNA, 468 nt
Filed under: uncultured bacterium
Lineage: Bacteria
Description: partial 16S ribosomal RNA
Rfam family: Bacterial small subunit ribosomal RNA
Source: RNAcentral
GACGAACGCUGGCGGCGUGCUUAACACAUGCAAGUCGAACGGAAAGGCCCUGCUUUUGUGGGGUGCUCGAGUGGCGAACGGGUGAGUAACACGUGAGUAACCUGCCCUUGACUUUGGGAUAACUUCAGGAAACUGGGUCUAAUACCGGAUAGGAGCUCCUGCUGCAUGGUGGGGGUGGAAAAGUUUCGGCGGUGGGGGAUGGACUCGCGGCUUAUCAGCUUGUUGGUGGGGUAGUGGCUUACCAAGGCUUUGACGGGUAGCCGGCCUGAGAGGGUGACCGGCCACAUUGGGACUGAGAUACGGCCCAGACUCCUACGGGAGGCAGCAGUGGGGAAUAUUGCACAAUGGGCGGAAGCCUGAUGCAGCAACGCCGCGUGCGGGAUGACGGCCUUCGGGUUGUAAACCGCUUUCGCCUGUGACGAAGCGUGAGUGACGGUAAUGGGUAAAGAAGCACCGGCUAACUACGUG